This is an RNA transcript of Carassius carassius (crucian carp), 818 nucleotides long. It is a transcript of the gene named G0/G1 switch 2, with no coding region annotated. NCBI's taxonomy places the organism in Eukaryota, Metazoa, Chordata, Actinopteri, Cypriniformes, Cyprinidae. The record is from RefSeq and is a predicted model, not a curated record. The transcript is spliced from 2 exons.
UGAAUUAAAUUCAAACAGCAGAUCAUGUUGUUUUCAAGAUAAUACUUCUUACCUGCACUGUUUACUACUAUAAUUGAGUUAAUUUUAUCAUAUACGCAUAUCAUGACCUUUGAUUUUCUUUUUUUCACAGACGUAACCACAGCUGCUAUGGACACUUUGCAUGAGCUCAUCCCUUUUGCUAAGGAAAUGCUGAGUGCUGGUCCCUCCAAGGGCUCUCUGAAGGUCUAUCUAGUGGGCGGCACGUUCGCUGUCCUGGGAAUGGUGAGCGGCGUGGUCCAGGUGGCCUCUUCUCUCUUCCCUGACCACGAGGAGCCUGACUUUGAGAUGCUGAAGGUGCGGGAGCUCAUACCAGUGAAGGAGCAGCUCCAGGAGCCACAAACCAGCAUCCCUGAAGAUGAUGAGAUGGAUGCAGCGAUGGAGGCCAAGGCUAAGGAACUGCCCAUGAACAGACAGAGGCGGAUGAGUUUCAGAGCUCACGCUUCAUAAGCCACGUGCCCUGUUGCUGUUAAUGCUACGUGAAGAAAGCCGAGCCAAAACGAAGUUCUGCUUGUGGACUGAGCCGUGAGGAACACGUCAUGAGGAACCGUACGGACACAGUUCUUAUUGUACCGAGAGCUGCAGAGCGGCUGGGAGAGGGAAAUAAUGACUUGAUAGUUUACGACUUGUUUACUUUCAUUGUAAAGUGAAGGUGACUAAAAUACACUAAAAAAGAAAACAUUUCUCAUCUGAGUAGGAAAAGACAGCGUUUUAAGAAACUUUAAUAAUAUUAUUAAUUAUAGCUGGACUACGAUGCAGAAUUAAGAAUUUGUGAUUCACAU